This 300-nucleotide ribosomal RNA is filed under the name uncultured bacterium. RNAcentral's name for it is "bacterial SSU rRNA". It matches the Rfam family "Bacterial small subunit ribosomal RNA", at positions 1075 to 1382 of the family's 1533-position model. The record is from RNAcentral.
UUGGGUUAAGUCCCGCAACGAGCGCAACCCUUGUCUCUAGUUGCUACGAAAGGGCACUCUAGAGAGACUGCCGGUGACAAACCGGAGGAAGUGGGGAUGACGUCAAGUCCUCAUGGCCCUUAUGGGUAGGGCUUCACACGUCAUACAAUGGUGCAUACAGAGGGUUGCCAAGCCGCGAGGUGGAGCUAAUCCCAGAAAAUGCAUCGUAGUCCGGAUCGUAGUCUGCAACUCGACUACGUGAAGCUGGAAUCGCUAGUAAUCGCGGAUCAGCAUGCCGCGGUGAAUACGUUCCCGGGUCUU